AUACGUAGGUGGCGAGCGUUGUCCGGAAUUAUUGGGCGUAAAGAGCGCGUAGGCGGGAAGAUAAGUCUUUUGUAAAAGUGCGGGGCUCAGCCCCGUAAGGCGGGAGAAACUAUCUUUCUUGAGUGCCGGAGAGGAAAGCGGAAUUCCCAGUGUAGCGGUGAAAUGCGUAGAUAUUGGGAGGAACACCAGUGGCGAAGGCGGCUUUCUGGACGGUGUCUGACGCUGAGGCGCGAAAGCCGGGGGAGCGAACGGGAUUAGAUCCCCCGGUAGUCCUGGCCGUAAACGAUGGGUACUAGGUGUGGGAGGUAUCGACCCCUUCCGUGCCGGAGUUAACGCAAUAAGUACCCCGCCUGGGGAGUACGGCCGCAAGGUUGA
RNAcentral lists this ribosomal RNA (375 nucleotides) under uncultured bacterium. Its description in RNAcentral is "bacterial SSU rRNA". It matches the Rfam family "Bacterial small subunit ribosomal RNA", at positions 523 to 897 of the family's 1533-position model. The record is from RNAcentral.